AACUAACGCUGGCGGCGCGUCUUAAACAUGCAAGUCGAACGGAUGUAGCAAUACAUUAGUGGCGAACGGGUGAGUAACACGUAGGUAAUCUACCUCUGAGUCUGGAACAACCUGAUGAAAAUCAGGCUAAUACUGGAUAGUAUUAAUUUGGCGAAUGUCGGAUUAAUUAAAGCAUUUAUGCGCUGAGAGAUGAGCCUGCGGCUGAUUAGCUAGUUGGCGGGGUAAAGGCCCACCAAGGCGACGAUCAGUAGCCGGCCUGAGAGGGUGAACGGCCACAUUGGGGACUGAGACACGGCCCAGACUCCUACGGGAGGCAGCAGUAGGGAAUCUUGCGCAAUGGGCGAAAGCCUGACGCAGCAACGCCGCGUGCGGGAUGACGGCCUUCGUGGUUGUAACCGCUUUCAGCAGGGACGAAAAUAGACGGUACCUGCAGAAGAAGACCCCGG
This 446-nucleotide ribosomal RNA is filed under the name uncultured bacterium. Its description in RNAcentral is "bacterial SSU rRNA". It matches the Rfam family "Bacterial small subunit ribosomal RNA", at positions 29 to 497 of the family's 1533-position model. The record is from RNAcentral.